GUGAUGACCCGCCAGUGGCUUAUAGGUGCCGAGCUCACCCUUUGCUGA
RNAcentral lists this small nucleolar RNA (48 nucleotides) under Pyrobaculum arsenaticum DSM 13514. RNAcentral describes it as "PARsR21". The record is from RNAcentral. RNAcentral also lists the same sequence under 1 other name. Lineage: Archaea; Thermoproteati; Thermoproteota; Thermoprotei; Thermoproteales; Thermoproteaceae.